GAGGAGCUUGCUCCUUUGACGUUAGCGGCGGACGGGUGAGUAACACGUGGGUAACCUACCUAUAAGACUGGGAUAACUUCGGGAAACCGGAGCUAAUACCGGAUAAUAUUUCGAACCGCAUGGUUCGAUAGUGAAAGAUGGCUUUGCUAUCACUUAUAGAUGGACCUGCGCCGUAUUAGCUAGUUGGUAAGGUAACGGCUUACCAAGGCAACGAUACGUAGCCGACCUGAGAGGGUGAUCGGCCACACUGGAACUGAGACACGGUCCAGACUCCUACGGGAGGCAGCAGUAGGGAAUCUUCCGCAAUGGGCGAAAGCCUGACGGAGCAACGCCGCGUGAGUGAUGAAGGUCUUCGGAUCGUAAAACUCUGUUAUUAGGGAAGAA
Molecule: ribosomal RNA, 384 nt
Filed under: uncultured Staphylococcus sp.
Lineage: Bacteria; Bacillati; Bacillota; Bacilli; Caryophanales; Staphylococcaceae
Description: bacterial SSU rRNA
Rfam family: Bacterial small subunit ribosomal RNA
Source: RNAcentral